RNAcentral lists this ribosomal RNA (839 nucleotides) under uncultured bacterium. RNAcentral's name for it is "bacterial SSU rRNA". It matches the Rfam family "Bacterial small subunit ribosomal RNA", at positions 21 to 902 of the family's 1533-position model. The record is from RNAcentral.
GGCUCAGGAUGAACGCUGGCGGUCUGCUUAACACAUGCAAGUCGAACGGACGUCUUCGGACGUUAGUGGCGGACGGGUGAGUAACGCGUGAGAAUCUACCCUCAGGAUGGGGACAACAGUUGGAAACGACUGCUAAUACCCGAUGUGCCGAGAGGUGAAAGUAAUUCGCCUGAGGAUGAGCUCGCGUCAGAUUAGCUAGUUGGUGAGGUAACGGCUCACCAAGGCGACGAUCUGUAGCUGGUCUGAGAGGAUGAUCAGCCACACUGGGACUGAGACACGGCCCAGACUCCUACGGGAGGCAGCAGUGGGGAAUUUUCCGCAAUGGGCGAAAGCCUGACGGAGCAAGACCGCGUGGGGGAUGAAGGUUUGUGGAUUGUAAACCCCUUUUGUCAGGGAAGAACACAAUGACGGUACCUGACGAAUAAGCCUCGGCUAACUCCGUGCCAGCAGCCGCGGUAAUACGGAGGAGGCAAGCGUUAUCCGGAAUUAUUGGGCGUAAAGCGUCCGUAGGUGGUUUAGAAAGUCUGCUGUCAAAGGCUGGGGCUUAACUCCAGACAGGCAGUGGAAACUACUAGACUAGAGUGCGGUAGGGGCAGAGGGAAUUCCCAGUGUAGCGGUGAAAUGCGUAGAUAUUGGGAAGAACACCGGUGGCGAAAGCGCUCUGCUGGACCUGUACUGACACUGAGGGACGAAAGCUAGGGGAGCGAAAGGGAUUAGAUACCCCUGUAGUCCUAGCCGUAAACGAUGGAAACUAGGUGUUGCCCGUAUCGACCCGGGCAGUGCCGUAGCUAACGCGUUAAGUUUCCCGCCUGGGGAGUACGCUCGCAAGAGUGAAACUC